This 721-nucleotide ribosomal RNA is filed under the name Limosilactobacillus fermentum. Its description in RNAcentral is "bacterial SSU rRNA". It matches the Rfam family "Bacterial small subunit ribosomal RNA", at positions 721 to 1442 of the family's 1533-position model. Lineage: Bacteria; Bacillati; Bacillota; Bacilli; Lactobacillales; Lactobacillaceae. The record is from RNAcentral.
GCGGCUACCUGGUCUGCAACUGACGCUGAGACUCGAAAGCAUGGGUAGCGAACAGGAUUAGAUACCUGGUAGUCCAUGCCGUAAACGAUGAGUGCUAGGUGUUGGAGGGUUUCCGCCCUUUCAGUGCCGGAGCUAACGCAUUAAGCACUCCGCCUGGGGAGUACGACCGCAAGGUUGAAACUCAAAGGAAUUGACGGGGGCCCGCACAAGCGGUGGAGCAUGUGGUUUAAUUCGAAGCUACGCGAAGAACCUUACCAGGUCUUGACAUCUUGCGCCAACCCUAGAGAUAGGGCGUUUCCUUCGGGAACGCAAUGACAGGUGGUGCAUGGUCGUCGUCAGCUCGUGUCGUGAGAUGUUGGGUUAAGUCCCGCAACGAGCGCAACCCUUGUUACUAGUUGCCAGCAUUAAGUUGGGCACUCUAGUGAGACUGCCGGUGACAAACCGGAGGAAGGUGGGGACGACGUCAGAUCAUCAUGCCCCUUAUGACCUGGGCUACACACGUGCUACAAUGGACGGUACAACGAGUCGCGAACUCGCGAGGGCAAGCAAAUCUCUUAAAACCGUUCUCAGUUCGGACUGCAGGCUGCAACUCGCCUGCACGAAGUCGGAAUCGCUAGUAAUCGCGGAUCAGCAUGCCGCGGUGAAUACGUUCCCGGGCCUUGUACACACCGCCCGUCACACCAUGAGAGUUUGUAACACCCAAAGUCGGUGGGGUAACCUU